ACAGAGGUGGAGAGCGUUGUUCGGAUUUACUGGGCGUAAAGGGAGCGUAGGCGGCGGUGUGUGUCGGGUGUGAAAUCCCAGGGCCCAACCCUGGAAGUGCGCCCGAAACUGCACCGCUCGAGUGCGGGGGGGGAGAUCGGAAUGCAGGGUGUAGCGGUGAAAUGCGUUGAUAUCCUGCAGAACACCGAUGGCGAAGGCGGAUCUCUGGAACGCAACUGACGCUGAGGCGCGAAAGCAGGGGGAGCAAACAG
Molecule: ribosomal RNA, 251 nt
Filed under: uncultured prokaryote
Description: partial 16S rRNA
Rfam family: Bacterial small subunit ribosomal RNA
Source: RNAcentral